UACUAGAGUAGCACUCGCAUAUCAAUAAGCGGAGGAAAAGAAACUAACAAGGAUUCCCCUAGUAACGGCGAGUGAAGCGGGAAGAGCUCAAAUUUGAAAUCUUAAAGGGUUUCCCUUUACGAAUUGUAGUUUAAAGAAGUGUUUUCUGUUGAGGUUUUGGUAAAAGUUCUUUGGAAUAGGACAUCAUAGAGGGUGAGAAUCCCGUAUUUGACCUUUACUUUCAACUUUGUGAUACACUUUCAAAGAGUCGGAUUGUUUGGGAAUGCAGUCCAAAAUGGGUGGUAAAUUUCAUCUAAAGCUAAAUAUUGGCGAGAGACCGAUAGCGAACAAGUACCGUGAGGGAAAGAUGAAAAGAACUUUGAAAAGAGAGUUAAACAGUACGUGAAAUUGUCAAAAGGGAAGCGUUUGACACCAGUGUUGUUUUUCUGAAAGUCAAUUAAAGAACUGUUUAUGCUAAGUUGUUUAGACUUUAUCAGCUAACUGUUUAGUUUUGAGCUUUUCUUUAAUGCACUUUUCAGUUAACAAGUCAACAUCAAUUUCUUUUGCUGUAAAAAAGCUUGAGGAAGGUGGCUUGAGAUUCGUCUUAAGUGUUUAUAGCCUCUUGCCUAUGCAGUCGGAGAGAUUGAGGUCUGCAGCGUAGAUCCUUCGGGGCUAAAUGCAUUUGUGCUAAGUUAUAGCAUUUUAUAGACAACUUGUUGACUAUGAUUUGUCUUGUAGCUUACUCGCUUAUGUUAUUUUACCUACGCUUAGGAUGUUGAACUACUGAGACAUAGA
Molecule: ribosomal RNA, 774 nt
Filed under: uncultured Neocallimastigales
Lineage: Eukaryota; Fungi; Neocallimastigomycota; Neocallimastigomycetes; Neocallimastigales
Description: partial large subunit ribosomal RNA
Rfam family: Eukaryotic large subunit ribosomal RNA
Source: RNAcentral